This 253-nucleotide ribosomal RNA is filed under the name uncultured bacterium. Its description in RNAcentral is "partial 16S ribosomal RNA". It matches the Rfam family "Bacterial small subunit ribosomal RNA", at positions 524 to 776 of the family's 1533-position model. The record is from RNAcentral.
UACAGAGGUCCCGAGCGUUGUUCGGAUUCAUUGGGCGUAAAGGGUGCGUAGGCGGCGCGGCAAGUCGGGUGUGAAAUUUCGAGGCUUAACUUCGAAACUGCAUUCGAUACUGCCGUGCUAGAGGACUGGAGAGGAGACUGGAAUUUACGGUGUAGCGGUGAAAUGCGUAGAUAUCGUAAGGAAGACCAGUGGCGAAGGCGGGUCUCUGGACAGUUCCUGACGCUGAGGCACGAAGGCCAGGGGAGCAAACGGG